RNAcentral lists this ribosomal RNA (301 nucleotides) under uncultured bacterium. RNAcentral describes it as "partial 16S ribosomal RNA". It matches the Rfam family "Bacterial small subunit ribosomal RNA", at positions 509 to 807 of the family's 1533-position model. The record is from RNAcentral.
CAGUAGCCGCGGUAAUACGGAGGGCGCGAGCGUUACCCGGAUUUACUGGGCGUAAAGGGCGUGUAGGCGGCCUGGGGCGUCCCAUGUGAAAGGCCACGGCUCAACCGUGGAGGAGCGUGGGAUACGCUCAGGCUAGAGGGUGGGAGAGGGUGGUGGAAUUCCCGGAGUAGCGGUGAAAUGCGCAGAUACCGGGAGGAACGCCGAUGGCGAAGGCAGCCACCUGGUCCACUUCUGACGCUGAGGCGCGAAAGCGUGGGGAGCAAACCGGAUUAGAGACCCGAGUAGUCCCUGUCUCUUAUAC